Molecule: ribosomal RNA, 740 nt
Filed under: uncultured Hyphomicrobiales bacterium
Lineage: Bacteria; Pseudomonadati; Pseudomonadota; Alphaproteobacteria; Hyphomicrobiales
Description: bacterial SSU rRNA
Rfam family: Bacterial small subunit ribosomal RNA
Source: RNAcentral
AGAGUUUGAUCCUGGCUCAGAACGAACGCUGGCGGCAGGCUUAACACAUGCAAGUCGAACGCACCGCAAGGUGAGUGGCAGACGGGUGAGUAACGCGUGGGAACGUGCCCUUCAGUUCGGGAUAACCCAGGGAAACUUGGGCUAAUACCGGAUACGUGCGAGAGCAGAAAGAUUUAUCGCUGAAGGAUCGGCCCGCGUCUGAUUAGCUAGUUGGUAGGGUAAUGGCCUACCAAGGCGACGAUCAGUAGCUGGUCUGAGAGGAUGAUCAGCCACAUUGGGACUGAGACACGGCCCAAACUCCUACGGGAGGCAGCAGUGGGGAAUAUUGGACAAUGGGCGCAAGCCUGAUCCAGCCAUGCCGCGUGAGUGAUGAAGGCCUUAGGGUUGUAAAGCUCUUUCGGCGGGGACGAUAAUGACGGUACCCGCAGAAGAAGCCCCGGCUAACUUCGUGCCAGCAGCCGCGGUAAUACGAAGGGGGCUAGCGUUGUUCGGAAUCACUGGGCGUAAAGGGCGCGUAGGCGGCCUGAUAAGUCGGGGGUGAAAGCCUGUGGCUCAACCACAGAAUUGCCUUCGAUACUGUCGGGCUUGAGACCGGAAGAGGUCAGUGGAACUGCGAGUGUAGAGGUGAAAUUCGUAGAUAUUCGCAAGAACACCAGUGGCGAAGGCAGCUGACUGGUCCGGUUCUGACGCUGAGGCGCGAAAGCGUGGGGAGCAAACAGGAUUAGAUACCCCCGUAGUCC